Ictalurus punctatus (channel catfish) is the source of this 565-nucleotide long non-coding RNA. The record is from Ensembl. NCBI's taxonomy places the organism in Eukaryota, Metazoa, Chordata, Actinopteri, Siluriformes, Ictaluridae.
AUGCUGUGAAAGAAAGAGCUGUCAGUCACUGGGGUUCUCUAAAGACAGUCGCCUGGGUUCAUGUUUUACAUACCCAGUGUAAAAUGCAAGGUAAAUGUGAGGUAAAUGUGAGGUUAAUGUGAGGUAAAUGUGAUGUAAAUGUGAGGUUAAUGUGAGGUAAAUGUGAGGUUAAUGUGAGGUAAAUGUGAUGUUAGUGUGAGGUUAAUGUGAGGUAAAUGUGAGGUAAAUGUGAGGUAAAUGUGAGGUUAAUGUGAUGUAAAUGUGAGGUUAAUGUGAGGUAACUGAGGUAAAUGUGAGGUAAAUGUGAUGUAAAUGUGAUGUAAAUGUGAGGUUAAUGUGAGGUAACUGUGAGGUAAAUGUGAUGUAAAUGUGAGGUUAAUGUGAGGUAAAUGUGAUGUAAGUGUGAGGUUUAUGUGAGGUAAAUGUGAGGUAAAUGUGAGGUAAAUGUGAGGUAAAUCUUUGAUUAGAUUAGAGCAAGCCUGGAUCCAUGAUGCUCUUCACUUCAGUGAUUCUUAUUCACUCUGCAUGAUGAAAUGCCUCCUUAAAAAAUAAAUAACUAUUUAAA